UCCACGCCCUAAACGAUGAACACUAGUCGUCGGGAUGCUAGUCAUCUCGGUGAUGCACUUAACAGAUUAAGUGUUCCGCCUGGGGAGUACGGUCGCAAGAUUAAAACUCAAAGGAAUAGACGGGGACCCGCACAAGCGGUGGAGCAUGUGGUUUAAUUCGAAAAUACACGAAGAACCUUACCUAGCCUUGAUAUCCUUGGAAUCCUAUAGAGAUAUGGGAGUGCUAGUUUACA
Molecule: ribosomal RNA, 233 nt
Filed under: uncultured bacterium
Lineage: Bacteria
Description: partial 16S ribosomal RNA
Rfam family: Bacterial small subunit ribosomal RNA
Source: RNAcentral